RNAcentral lists this ribosomal RNA (406 nucleotides) under uncultured bacterium. Its description in RNAcentral is "partial 16S ribosomal RNA". It matches the Rfam family "Bacterial small subunit ribosomal RNA", at positions 30 to 526 of the family's 1533-position model. The record is from RNAcentral.
AUUGAACACUGGCGGCAUACCUAACACAUGAAAGUCGAACGAGUGUCUGACGGUUGAGUAAUGUCUGGGAAACUGCCUGAUGGCGGGGGAUAACUACUGGACACGGUAGCUACUACCGCAUACCCUCAGAUGUGCCCAGAUGGGAGUUGCUAGGUGGUGGGGUAACGGCUCACCAAGGCGACGAUCCCUAGCUGGUCUGAGAGGAUGACAAGCCACACGUGAACUGAGAAACGGUCCAGACUCCUACGGGAGGCAGCAGUGGGGAAUAUGGCACAAUGGGAGCAAGCCUGAUGCAGCCAUGCCGCGUGUAUGAAGAAGGCCUUCGGGUUGUAAAGUACUUGCAGCGGGGAGGCGUUACCCGCAGAAGAAGCAACGGCUAACUCCGUGCCAGCAGCCGCGGUAAUAC